Molecule: transfer RNA, 74 nt
Filed under: Phycisphaeraceae bacterium
Lineage: Bacteria; Pseudomonadati; Planctomycetota; Phycisphaerae; Phycisphaerales; Phycisphaeraceae
Also listed under: 1 other name
Description: tRNA-Arg
Rfam family: tRNA
About the family: Transfer RNA (tRNA) molecules are approximately 80 nucleotides in length. Their secondary structure includes four short double-helical elements and three loops (D, anti-codon, and T loops).
Source: RNAcentral
GGCCCUGUAGCUCAGCUGGAUAGAGCGGCUGCCUCCGGAGCAGCAGGUCAGAGGUUCGAAUCCUCUCAGGGUCA